RNAcentral lists this small nuclear RNA (311 nucleotides) under Notechis scutatus (mainland tiger snake). RNAcentral's name for it is "7SK RNA (ENSNSUG00000008578.1)". It matches the Rfam family "7SK RNA". From Rfam's summary of the family: 7SK was discovered as an abundant small nuclear RNA in the mid-70s but a possible function has only recently been suggested. Two independent studies have found that 7SK RNA binds the CDK9/cyclin T complex (known as elongation factor P-TEFb). Lineage: Eukaryota; Metazoa; Chordata; Lepidosauria; Squamata; Elapidae. The record is from Rfam by way of RNAcentral.
GGAUGUGAGGGCUAUCUGGCUGCAACAUCUGUCACCCCAUUGAUUGCCAGGGUUGAUUCGGCUGAUUUGGCUGGCUAGGCAGGUGUCCCCUUCCUCCCUCACCUCUCCAUGUGCACCCCCCCCCCCCCAAGCUGGGCCCCCAGGGGAAGAGGACAACCAUCCCAGAUAGAAGGAAUGUACUGAUCUUCGGUCAAGGGUAUACAAUAGCUCCCCUGCUAGAACCUCCAAGCCCAAUGAACUGGCUCUUCUUUGAUGGUACUUGGAUGUUACUGCUUUUCUUGCUUCCUCAUCAUAGUUCCCAUGUGUGACUA